Molecule: transfer RNA, 71 nt
Filed under: Stegodyphus mimosarum
Lineage: Eukaryota; Metazoa; Arthropoda; Arachnida; Araneae; Eresidae
Rfam family: tRNA
About the family: Transfer RNA (tRNA) molecules are approximately 80 nucleotides in length. Their secondary structure includes four short double-helical elements and three loops (D, anti-codon, and T loops).
Source: Rfam by way of RNAcentral
GCCUUCGUGGUGUAACGGUAGCACACUCAGCUCAUAUUCGAGAGGUCCACGUUCGAGUACCGGCGAGGGCA